Molecule: signal recognition particle RNA, 93 nt
Filed under: Deltaproteobacteria bacterium
Lineage: Bacteria; Pseudomonadati; Myxococcota; Myxococcia
Also listed under: 1 other name
Description: signal recognition particle sRNA small type
Rfam family: Bacterial small signal recognition particle RNA
About the family: The signal recognition particle (SRP) is a universally conserved ribonucleoprotein involved in the co-translational targeting of proteins to membranes.
Source: RNAcentral
CUUGUGGCCCCGGCAACAGCAGCCCGGGAAACCCGCCAGGCCCGGAAGGGAGCAACGGUAACGGAUGCUGCUGGGUGCCGGGGCCACCCUUUU